This 497-nucleotide ribosomal RNA is filed under the name uncultured bacterium. RNAcentral's name for it is "partial 16S ribosomal RNA". It matches the Rfam family "Bacterial small subunit ribosomal RNA", at positions 28 to 507 of the family's 1533-position model. The record is from RNAcentral.
GAUGAACGCUGGCGGCGUGCCUAAUACAUGCAAGUCGAGCGAACAGACGAGGAGCUUGCUCCUCUGACGUUAGCGGCGGACGGGUGAGUAACACGUGGAUAACCUACCUAUAAGACUGGGAUAACUUCGGGAAACCGGAGCUAAUACCGGAUAAUAUAUUUAACCGCAUGGUUCAAUAGUGAAAGACGGUUUUGCUGUCACUUAUAGAUGUAUCCGCGCCGCAUUAGCUAGUUGGUAAGGUAACGGCUUACCAAGGCAACGAUGCGUAGCCGACCUGAGAGGGUGAUCGGCCACACUGGAACUGAGACACGGUCCAGACUCCUACGGGAGGCAGCAGUAGGGAAUCUUCCGCAAUGGGCGAAAGCCUGACGGAGCAACGCCGCGUGAGUGAUGAAGGUCUUCGGAUCGUAAAACUCUGUUAUUAGGGAAGAACAAAUGUGUAAGUAACUAUGCACGUCUUGACGGUACCUAAUCAGAAAGCCACGGCUAACUACGUG